Pan troglodytes (chimpanzee) is the source of this 853-nucleotide long non-coding RNA. RefSeq lists it as uncharacterized. The transcript is spliced from 3 exons. Lineage: Eukaryota; Metazoa; Chordata; Mammalia; Primates; Hominidae. The record is from RefSeq and is a predicted model, not a curated record.
GUCAACACUAUGGAAAAACCUCCACAGACAGAAUAUGAUGAAAGUCUGGGAGCAUUAUCCCAUUGAAGAUGCCCUGUUGUCACAAAAAAGCCAUGAAAGCCAACAAGACUGAAACAAAUUUCUGCUGAAGAAAUCUAUGUCCAGAUGUUGUGCAUGACUUCACAGGAUUUACUACAAAGCCAAUCAAGAAAAUCAUGAAAGAGAUUGUAGACAUGGCAAAAAGGGUGGGGAGUGAUAUGUUUCAAGAUAUGGGUCUUAGAGAAAUUCAAGAGCUAACAGAUACCACACCAGAGGAAUUAACAGAAGACAAGGUGGAGAUAGAUGCUUCUGAACCACUGCCAGACAGUGAGAAAGAUGCAGAACAGUGCCAGAAAACAAACUGACAUUAGACAAUCUGGCAGAAUGGUUCUGAAUAUACAAGACUACUCUUGACUUCUUUUACGACAUGGACCCUUCUAUGAUACAGAUGGUGGCAGAAGAAAACACCGAAAACAAUACCACUACCCCACUCCCUUUAUUAGAAAAAAGUUAAAAUACAAAUUCUAUUACUGUUUACCUAGGACCUAACUUCACACGGCUGACAUUUCUCAAAGAUAGGUCAUAGGACCCCCAUUCCAGAAAGGGUGCUGUUCCAUACCCGGAAGGAAAGAAUGCUGCACAGAGAGGCCAAGAAGAAUCUAUACAGACAGGCAGGCCUUGCUGGGUUUCCCCACUCAGUACAUGGCUGUCCAGACUUUGCUGAACCUAAGCAUACCGAUGGACAGUUUUCUCCUAUAUCUUUAGGUCUUUAUUCUGAAGGCUCCCAUGUCACAUAACACCAAGAUCAAAUAAAAUCAUAUGCCCUUUCUCCUAU